GAUGAACGCUGGCGGCGUGCUUAACACAUGCAAGUCGAACGGAGUGGCGGACGGGUGAGUAACGCGUGGGUAACCUGCCUUAUACAAGGGGAUAACAGAGGGAAACUUCUGCUAAUACCGUAUAGUAUGAGAUGGACUCGCGUCUGAUUAGGUAGUUGGUGAGGUAGAGGCUCACCAAGCCGACGAUCGGUAGCCGAUCUGAGAGGAUGACCGGCCACAUUGGGACUGAGACACGGCCCAAACUCCUACGGGAGGCAGCAGUGGGGAAUAUUGGACAAUGGGGGCAACCCUGAUCCAGCGACGCCGCGUGAGUGAAGAAGUAUUUCGGUAUGUAAAGCUCUAUCAUAACGGAAGAAGCCGUUAAGGAAGAAGCCCCGGCUAACUACGUGCCAGCAGCCGCGGUAAUAC
RNAcentral lists this ribosomal RNA (408 nucleotides) under uncultured bacterium. RNAcentral's name for it is "partial 16S ribosomal RNA". It matches the Rfam family "Bacterial small subunit ribosomal RNA", at positions 28 to 526 of the family's 1533-position model. The record is from RNAcentral.